CCUACGGGUGGCAGCAGUGGGGGAUAUUGGACAAUGGGGGAAACCCUGAUCCAGCGACGCCGCGUGAGUGAAGAAGUAUUUCGGUAUGUAAAGCUCUAUCAGCAGGGAAGAAAGAAAUGACGGUACCUGAGUAAGAAGCCCCGGCUAACUACGUGCCAGCAGCCGCGGUAAGACGUAGGGGGCAAGCGUUAUCCGGAAUUACUGGGUGUGAAGGGAGCGUAGACGGUAAUGCAAGUCUGAAGUGAAAGGCAGGGGCUUAACCCCUGAACUGCGUUGGAAACUGCCAUGCUAGAGUGCUGGAGAGGUAAGGGGAAUUCCUAGUGUAGCGGUGAAAUGCGUAGAUAUUAGGAGGAACACCAGUGGCGAAGGCGGCUUACUGGACAGUAACUGACGUUGAGGCUCGAAAGCGUGGGGAGCAAACAGGAUUAGAUACCCGGGUAGUC
RNAcentral lists this ribosomal RNA (443 nucleotides) under uncultured bacterium. RNAcentral describes it as "partial 16S ribosomal RNA". It matches the Rfam family "Bacterial small subunit ribosomal RNA", at positions 338 to 795 of the family's 1533-position model. The record is from RNAcentral.